GUUGAACGCUGGCGGCGUGCCUAACACAUGCAAGUCGAGCGAAGCGGGGACGGGUGAGUAACACGUGGAUAACCUCCUAUAUGUCGGGGAUAACUUCGGGAAACCGGAGCUAAUCCGGCUACUUUUAGCUGGAUCCUUGCUGCAUUAGCUAGUUGGUAGGGUAACGGCUUACACAGGCAACGAUGCAUAGCCGAUCUGAGAGGAGGAUCGGCCACACUGGAACUGAGACACGGUCCAGACUCCUACGGGAGGCAGCAGUAGGGAAUCUUGCGCAAUGGGCGAAAGCCUGACGGAGCAACGCCGCGUGAGUGAUGAAGGUCUUCGGAUUGUAAAGCUCUGUUAGUAGGGAAGCGGUACCUAAUCAGAAAGCCACGGCUAACUACGUGCCAGCAGCCGCGGUAAUUC
RNAcentral lists this ribosomal RNA (405 nucleotides) under uncultured bacterium. Its description in RNAcentral is "partial 16S ribosomal RNA". It matches the Rfam family "Bacterial small subunit ribosomal RNA", at positions 28 to 526 of the family's 1533-position model. The record is from RNAcentral.